ACUUCUUGCCAGAAUUGACGCGGAACGCUCGUGGCUCGCGCACAAAAUAGACCAGCCCUCCGUAGAGGCCCGCGGCGCUCCGCCCCUGGUGUGAACAACGCCAUAGUCAGCUGCUGGGGAUCAAUAUGGACAUAAAGUCACUUCACUCCAGUGAUGAAGCAGACCUGCAUCCUCCAGACACACAAACUGUCACACAACAUCUCUGAGCCUCAAACACACAUCCCAGAUGGAGGAAGACACUGCCACCAUGAGGGCCAGAUUCUAACCAGGCUACUGUUGGGCCAAGGCAUCGGAUGAUCUGCAGGUUUCAAGAACAGCGGCGACACCACGCGCUCCUCUCCUCCCCGACCCAGCUUAGACAGCAGCAACAGGGAGGGGCGCUGCACUGCAGUUUCUGAGUACAACAAACACUAAUUACACUAUUUAUUACUUUUUUUAAGUGAAAUGAGUGUUGCAUCAAACUGUUUAACAAAAAAGAAAAAUAUAUAUAUAUAAUCAUUGUUAUUUGGGGCCCCUUUAGCAGAUGGCGCCCUAGGCGGCUGCCUAUGCCCAUGGCCGGUCCUGAUAAAAGUCCAAUUAUAAUAAUAAUACUAUGUGUUUGGGCUACUAGGUUGUUUGAGGCAUUUUUUUCCAGCUGAGAAAAAAACAAAACUACAGAUGACGAGUUAACCACAGGUUAUUUUGCUGUCAUGUUCCUGGUCCGGCCCACUUAAGAUCAGACAGCUUGAAUGUGGCCCCCAAACCAAAAUGAGUUCAACACUCCUGAUCUCGUUGAAUUGGAAUAAUCUGAAAAAAAAUUUUAAUUGUUAAAACUUUGAUGUUUUUAAUCUUAAACCAAAUUGCAAUAAAUGCGUAUUUUAUUGAACCUUGUAAAAACGGUAAUAUUUUUGCCUUCUAAACUACAAUAAUGAGAUGACCUCAUAAAAGUUAGAAUCUCUCUUCAGAGAAAGAAGAAGCUCCACACUGCAGUUCUGGAGUUCCCUGCAUUUAUUUCUUUUUCUCCACUGUCUGUGCUCCAUGUGAGGAGCAUAAAUAUCUUACAGAACAACAGUUUGUUAUUUACAAGAUCAAAUGAGUGACGUACAUCUCACAUUGUCUGCUUGUUUGUAGCGCUGCAGGAGGAGAAAAUGACAAACUGUUUUACAGUCAGGCAGUCUAACAGACUCAAACCUACAACAACAAAAAAAGCUAAAAGUCUUUUGUUCUGUGGCAGGACAGCAGAGAAACAGAUGAGGAUCUCUAUGGGCUGAAGUCAGGAGGAACAAACUUCAGUGUCAACUUGAAAUAAAUCUGCCUUU
Oryzias melastigma (Indian medaka) is the source of this 1298-nucleotide long non-coding RNA. RefSeq lists it as uncharacterized. The transcript has 4 exons. The record is from RefSeq and is a predicted model, not a curated record. NCBI's taxonomy places the organism in Eukaryota, Metazoa, Chordata, Actinopteri, Beloniformes, Adrianichthyidae.